UAAGAACUUCACCUGCAGCUGAUAUAAUUGCUGAUGUCGUAAAUACUACUACUGCACUAGAUAUAAUUGAAGAGGCGUCGAUGGACACCACUCGCUUUGCUGGCGAUCAUAUGAUCAACCUGAGGAAGAACCUGCAAAUAAAAAGAAUAUAUGGGAUUGAUUGUGACAGAGGCAUCGAUGGACACCACUUGCUUUGCUGGCGAUAAUAUGAUCAACAUGAGGAAGAACCUGCAAAUAAAGAGAAUAUAUGGGAUUGAUUGUGAUAGUCGGUUGGAUUGGCCUGAACGUUCACUUGAUGCAACGCCUCAAGUUCUGUCUUCAACUUUUAACUUGAGGCGAGUAUCGAGCAGCUGUG
This 355-nucleotide long non-coding RNA is filed under the name Nicotiana benthamiana. RNAcentral's name for it is "long non-coding RNA (NBEN_LNC016617)". Lineage: Eukaryota; Viridiplantae; Streptophyta; Magnoliopsida; Solanales; Solanaceae. The record is from RNAcentral.